GAGUCGGUCGGGGGGCAAGAAAGCUAAAAUCAUGUCUCCAGGAACAGGAGAAGCAGAGCGACGAUUGAAUCGGAUCAGAGCAGUUGAUUCGCCGGUCGAAGAGAGAAAACAAACGCAAAUGUUUUGUGCGCUUGUGACGAAUGUUGGAUCGUGAUGAUGACACAACAGUUUGGACGGUUCACGCAAUCUCUGAAUCAGCAGAUGUACCCCGAGGUGUGCGCACACGGCCAAUAACAGGCCUGGUGAAUGAUAAAAAAAAUAAAACAGGAAAAGGUCAGACGAUCCACAGAUGGAAACAUUUGAAUGCAAAACAAGAACAUAAAAAAAAACAAAAAAAACCCAAAAACCUGGUAAAGUCAUCACAAUAUCAUUUGAGAACGGGCAGAGCUCUGGUGAAUUCUCAGCUCAAAAGGAGGAGGACACGAUGCAGGUAAGGGUGGAACAACUGGAGUAUGUGUGGAGACGCUACACUGCAAAACAUAAUGAUGGAGCAGGUAAAGGAGGUGAAGAGGGACCCUUAAAUUCCACCAAAUCCACGUUCGGUCCAGUUCAGCUCUGUCAACAGCAGCGGUUGGGGUUUGCUGUACGACGGAGCUCAUGCAUCCAGUGGAAUUCCAGAUGGAGGGUUACAGAGACCAAGUAAAACAAGAUAAAAUGGA
Long non-coding RNA from Acanthopagrus latus (yellowfin seabream), 659 nucleotides. RefSeq lists it as uncharacterized. The transcript is spliced from 4 exons. The record is from RefSeq and is a predicted model, not a curated record. Lineage: Eukaryota; Metazoa; Chordata; Actinopteri; Spariformes; Sparidae.